RNAcentral lists this ribosomal RNA (301 nucleotides) under uncultured bacterium. RNAcentral describes it as "partial 16S ribosomal RNA". It matches the Rfam family "Bacterial small subunit ribosomal RNA", at positions 509 to 808 of the family's 1533-position model. The record is from RNAcentral.
CAGCCGCCGCGGUAAUACGUAGGUGGCGAGCGUUGUCCGGAAUCAUUGGGCGUAAAAGGAGCGCAGGCGGGCAUGUAAGUCUUUCUUAAAAGUUCGGGGCUCAACCCCGUGAUGGGAAAGAAACUACAUGUCUUGAGUACAGGAGAGGAAAGCGGAAUUCCCAGUGUAGCGGUGAAAUGCGUAGAUAUUGGGAGGAACACCAGUGGCGAAGGCGGCUUUCUGGACUGCAACUGACGCUGAGGCUCGAAAGCCAGGGGAGCGAACGGGAUUAGAUACCCCUGUAGUCCCUGUCUCUUAUACC